Molecule: ribosomal RNA, 2924 nt
Filed under: Escherichia coli
Lineage: Bacteria; Pseudomonadati; Pseudomonadota; Gammaproteobacteria; Enterobacterales; Enterobacteriaceae
Description: bacterial LSU rRNA
Rfam family: Bacterial large subunit ribosomal RNA
Source: RNAcentral
GGGUUGUGAGGUUAAGCGACUAAGCGUACACGGUGGAUGCCCUGGCAGUCAGAGGCGAUGAAGGACGUGCUAAUCUGCGAUAAGCGUCGGUAAGGUGAUAUGAACCGUUAUAACCGGCGAUUUCCGAAUGGGGAAACCCAGUGUGUUUCGACACACUAUCAUUAACUGAAUCCAUAGGUUAAUGAGGCGAACCGGGGGAACUGAAACAUCUAAGUACCCCGAGGAAAAGAAAUCAACCGAGAUUCCCCCAGUAGCGGCGAGCGAACGGGGAGCAGCCCAGAGCCUGAAUCAGUGUGUGUGUUAGUGGAAGCGUCUGGAAAGGCGCGCGAUACAGGGUGACAGCCCCGUACACAAAAAUGCACAUGCUGUGAGCUCGAUGAGUAGGGCGGGACACGUGGUAUCCUGUCUGAAUAUGGGGGGACCAUCCUCCAAGGCUAAAUACUCCUGACUGACCGAUAGUGAACCAGUACCGUGAGGGAAAGGCGAAAAGAACCCCGGCGAGGGGAGUGAAAAAGAACCUGAAACCGUGUACGUACAAGCAGUGGGAGCACGCUUAGGCGUGUGACUGCGUACCUUUUGUAUAAUGGGUCAGCGACUUAUAUUCUGUAGCAAGGUUAACCGAAUAGGGGAGCCGAAGGGAAACCGAGUCUUAACUGGGCGUUAAGUUGCAGGGUAUAGACCCGAAACCCGGUGAUCUAGCCAUGGGCAGGUUGAAGGUUGGGUAACACUAACUGGAGGACCGAACCGACUAAUGUUGAAAAAUUAGCGGAUGACUUGUGGCUGGGGGUGAAAGGCCAAUCAAACCGGGAGAUAGCUGGUUCUCCCCGAAAGCUAUUUAGGUAGCGCCUCGUGAAUUCAUCUCCGGGGGUAGAGCACUGUUUCGGCAAGGGGGUCAUCCCGACUUACCAACCCGAUGCAAACUACGAAUACCGGAGAAUGUUAUCACGGGAGACACACGGCGGGUGCUAACGUCCGUCGUGAAGAGGGAAACAACCCAGACCGCCAGCUAAGGUCCCAAAGUCAUGGUUAAGUGGGAAACGAUGUGGGAAGGCCCAGACAGCCAGGAUGUUGGCUUAGAAGCAGCCAUCAUUUAAAGAAAGCGUAAUAGCUCACUGGUCGAGUCGGCCUGCGCGGAAGAUGUAACGGGGCUAAACCAUGCACCGAAGCUGCGGCAGCGACGCUGAUGCGUUGUUGGGUAGGGGAGCGUUCUGUAAGCCUGCGAAGGUGUGCUGUGAGGCAUGCUGGAGGUAUCAGAAGUGCGAAUGCUGACAUAAGUAACGAUAAAGCGGGUGAAAAGCCCGCUCGCCGGAAGACCAAGGGUUCCUGUCCAACGUUAAUCGGGGCAGGGUGAGUCGACCCCUAAGGCGAGGCCGAAAGGCGUAGUCGAUGGGAAACAGGUUAAUAUUCCUGUACUUGGUGUUACUGCGAAGGGGGACGGAGAAGGCUAUGUUGGCCGGGCGACGGUUGUCCCGGUUUAAGCGUGUAGGCUGGUUUUCCAGGCAAAUCCGGAAAAUCAAGGCUGAGGCGUGAUGACGAGGCACUACGGUGCUGAAGCAACAAAUGCCCUGCUUCCAGGAAAAGCCUCUAAGCAUCAGGUAACAUCAAAUCGUACCCCAAACCGACACAGGUGGUCAGGUAGAGAAUACCAAGGCGCUUGAGAGAACUCGGGUGAAGGAACUAGGCAAAAUGGUGCCGUAACUUCGGGAGAAGGCACGCUGAUAUGUAGGUGAAGUCCCUCGCGGAUGGAGCUGAAAUCAGUCGAAGAUACCAGCUGGCUGCAACUGUUUAUUAAAAACACAGCACUGUGCAAACACGAAAGUGGACGUAUACGGUGUGACGCCUGCCCGGUGCCGGAAGGUUAAUUGAUGGGGUUAGCGCAAGCGAAGCUCUUGAUCGAAGCCCCGGUAAACGGCGGCCGUAACUAUAACGGUCCUAAGGUAGCGAAAUUCCUUGUCGGGUAAGUUCCGACCUGCACGAAUGGCGUAAUGAUGGCCAGGCUGUCUCCACCCGAGACUCAGUGAAAUUGAACUCGCUGUGAAGAUGCAGUGUACCCGCGGCAAGACGGAAAGACCCCGUGAACCUUUACUAUAGCUUGACACUGAACAUUGAGCCUUGAUGUGUAGGAUAGGUGGGAGGCUUUGAAGUGUGGACGCCAGUCUGCAUGGAGCCGACCUUGAAAUACCACCCUUUAAUGUUUGAUGUUCUAACGUGGACCCGUAAUCCGGGUUGCGGACAGUGUCUGGUGGGUAGUUUGACUGGGGCGGUCUCCUCCUAAAGAGUAACGGAGGAGCACGAAGGUUGGCUAAUCCUGGUCGGACAUCAGGAGGUUAGUGCAAUGGCAUAAGCCAGCUUGACUGCGAGCGUGACGGCGCGAGCAGGUGCGAAAGCAGGUCAUAGUGAUCCGGUGGUUCUGAAUGGAAGGGCCAUCGCUCAACGGAUAAAAGGUACUCCGGGGAUAACAGGCUGAUACCGCCCAAGAGUUCAUAUCGACGGCGGUGUUUGGCACCUCGAUGUCGGCUCAUCACAUCCUGGGGCUGAAGUAGGUCCCAAGGGUAUGGCUGUUCGCCAUUUAAAGUGGUACGCGAGCUGGGUUUAGAACGUCGUGAGACAGUUCGGUCCCUAUCUGCCGUGGGCGCUGGAGAACUGAGGGGGGCUGCUCCUAGUACGAGAGGACCGGAGUGGACGCAUCACUGGUGUUCGGGUUGUCAUGCCAAUGGCACUGCCCGGUAGCUAAAUGCGGAAGAGAUAAGUGCUGAAAGCAUCUAAGCACGAAACUUGCCCCGAGAUGAGUUCUCCCUGACUCCUUGAGAGUCCUGAAGGAACGUUGAAGACGACGACGUUGAUAGGCCGGGUGUGUAAGCGCAGCGAUGCGUUGAGCUAACCGGUACUAAUGAACCGUGAGGCUUAACCUUACAACGCCGAAG